This 594-nucleotide long non-coding RNA is filed under the name Ovis aries (sheep). Its description in RNAcentral is "lncRNA (ENSOARG00000025567.1)". Lineage: Eukaryota; Metazoa; Chordata; Mammalia; Artiodactyla; Bovidae. The record is from RNAcentral.
CAGUAAUUAAAUUCUGUUCCAUAUGCUUGAGGGAAAACCAACUGGUGAUCAUUAAUCUUAAACCCCUGCAUCUGGGUUUUUCAUGCCAGAAGGUAUGAAAAAGGGUGGUGACUUAAUCCAAGGAUCCAGAGAAGCCAUAAAGAUGUUAAAUAUCUUGACCUUUACAUUGAUUCACUAGAAAUAAUGUUAUUUAAAGAAGGAUAUAAUAACUUCUAUAAGUCCCACCGUGGGGGAACUCUUUACCCUCUUUCAGUGUCUAUGCUGAGAAUUUUGUACUUUCCUCCUCUCAAAUAAAUCCUACUCACUUGCUACCAUUCAUGGAUUCCAUUCUUCUGGGCUUCAUGGACAAGAUCUCAGAUUCCCUUCUCACCCCAGCCAUAGCCACAGGAGUUGCCGUAGUAGUUACAACACAUGUUGUCAAGGGAAGAGGAUUCAGGUGGACUGCAAGAGGAUGUUUCUGAAGUGUAUGUGUCUUCUUCUUCCCUUGGACCUUUAUAUACUGUCAGUAAUUGGCAGAGCAUACCAUUCAUUCCCUGACAUAGGCAGCAAAUAUGGAAGCAACAUUAUGAGCCAGUCACUGUUGACCUAUAAUGC